CUGACAGCCACAUAAAUAUCCAGAACCUUUUAUAACACCACGAAGCUCCUUCUCCCGUGACCAUGCUAUAUACUUUACAGGAACUCCAUCCAGCAUUCCGGUGGACAGCAAACUUCUGACAUUUGAAGGGAAGUUGUUUGGAGGAGCGUUCUUAGAUGUUUUUAGGUCCUCUUUCUUCUUAGACACAUUUUCAGCUCCAGAGGCAGUUGUAUGGACAGCAGAUGCAAGUGCAUCCACAUUUGAAUUGAC
RNAcentral lists this unclassified non-coding RNA (249 nucleotides) under Hevea brasiliensis (rubber tree). Lineage: Eukaryota; Viridiplantae; Streptophyta; Magnoliopsida; Malpighiales; Euphorbiaceae. The record is from RNAcentral.